UUCCAGACUCCUACGGGAGGCAGCAGUGGGGAAUAUUGCACAAUGGGGGAAACCCUGAUGCAGCGACGCCGCGUGAGCGAUGAAGUAUUUCGGUAUGUAAAGCUCUAUCAGUAGGGAAGAAAAUGACGGUACCUGACUAAGAAGCCCCGGCUAACUACGUGCCAGCAGCCGCGGUAAUACGUAGGGGGCAAGCGUUAUCCGGAUUUACUGGGUGUAAAGGGAGCGUAGACGGCCAGACAAGUCUGAAGUGAAAAUCCAGCGCUUAACGUUGGAAGUGCUUUGGAAACUGCCGGACUAGAGUGCAGGAGGGGCAGGCGGAAUUCCUGGUGUAGCGGUGAAAUGCGUAGAUAUCAGGAGGAACACCGGUGGCGAAGGCGGCCUGCUGGACUGCAACUGACGUUGAGGCCCGAAAGCGUGGGGAGCAAACAGGAUUAGAUACCCCAGUA
This 446-nucleotide ribosomal RNA is filed under the name uncultured bacterium. Its description in RNAcentral is "partial 16S ribosomal RNA". It matches the Rfam family "Bacterial small subunit ribosomal RNA", at positions 329 to 792 of the family's 1533-position model. The record is from RNAcentral.